Molecule: long non-coding RNA, 623 nt
Organism: Ananas comosus (pineapple)
Lineage: Eukaryota; Viridiplantae; Streptophyta; Magnoliopsida; Poales; Bromeliaceae
Exons: 2
Source: RefSeq, a predicted model, not a curated record
UAGAUAAAUAAAUAGAGGAGUGAAGGAGAUAAUGACCAACUUUUGGUUGGAUGCCCAGCCCAUCCAGGAGCAUUCAGAACCCUAGUGGGCUGCCCGGCUGGCUUUCUCUUGAUUCCUGCAAAUGCAGCCUUAAAUGGGAGUAACCACCAUGAUGUGGAUCUCUCUCUCUCUCUCUCUCUCUCUCUCUCUCUCUCUCUCUAGUCUCUACAAACUGAGAGCUUUUAGUAUUUAGGAGAUCGAGGAGAAAGGCAUGGGGGUUAUUUAUGCUUAUUUAUUAGCUACCCUCCCUGUUCCUAUUCCUACUUUUUUAUGUUUAUAGCUGAUCAUACUGAUUACUUAAACUGCAUGAAGGGAAGAGGAGUGAGGCAAGGGACAAAGGAGAGACCGGGGAGAUGGAUUGGAGAUGGAGUGGGCCACGCGGAUGGGGAGAGCGCAUGUGCCCUCGCGCCGCUGCUGGGAGGCCAUACUGUUUAACGGCGCUAUCCCCUCACGUGAAUAUCCAGCUGUUCCCUUACGCGCCACCUAACGGCGUGUAACGGCUCCGCUAAUCGCGGGAGCGUAUUGUUUAUCUGUUCUGUAACCGUUGGAAACACAUUUAUACUUGAUUUUUAAUAUAUUUGAAA